This 340-nucleotide ribosomal RNA is filed under the name uncultured bacterium. RNAcentral describes it as "bacterial SSU rRNA". It matches the Rfam family "Bacterial small subunit ribosomal RNA", at positions 457 to 793 of the family's 1533-position model. The record is from RNAcentral.
UAGCAUACUCAUUUGACGUUUAGCUGCAGAAGAAGCACCGGCUAACUCCGUGCCAGCAGCCGCGGUAAUACGGAGGGUGCGAGCGUUAAUCGGAAUUACUGGGCGUAAAGCGCAUGCAGGUGGUUUGUUAAGUCUAGAUGUGAAAGCCCGGGGCUCAACCUCGGAAUUGCAUUUGAAACUGGCAAACUAGAGUACUGUAGAGGGGGUAGGAAUUUCAGGUGUAGCGGUGAAAUGCGUAGAGAUCUGAAGGAAUACCGGUGGCGAAGGCGGCCCCCUCGGACAGAUACUGACACUCAGAUGCGAAAGCGUGGGGAGCAAACAGGAUUAGAUACCCUGGUAG